AACGUACGCUGGCGGCACGCUUAACACAUGCAAGUCGAACGAAGUAGCAAUACUUAGUGGCAGACGGGUGAGUAACAUGUGGGUAUCUGCCCUUUGGCCUGGAAUAACACGAGGAAACUUGUGCUAAUACCGGAUAAGUCUUUACGGAGAAAGCUUUAUGCACCAUUGGAUGAGCCCGCACUUGAUUAGUUUGUUGGUGGGGUAAUGGCCUACCAAGACUGUGAUCAAUAGCUGAUUUGAGAGGAUGAUCAGCCACAUUGGGACUGAGACACGGCCCAAACUCCUACGGGAGGCAGCAGUGGGGAAUCUUGCACAAUGGAGGAAACUCUGAUGCAGCGAUGCCGCGUGGGUGAAGAAGGCCCUUGGGUUGUAAAGCUCUUUCGUCGGGGAAGAAAAUGACUGUACCCGAAUAAGAAGGUCCGGCUAACUUCGUGCCAGCAGCCGCGGUAAUACGAAGGGACCUAGCGUAGUUCGGAAUUACUGGGCUUAAAGAGUUCGUAGGUGGUUGAAAAAGUUAGUGGUGAAAUCCCAGAGCUUAACUCUGGAACUGCCAUUAAAACUUUUCAGCUAGAGUAUGAUAGAGGAAAGCAGAAUUUCUAGUGUAGAGGUGAAAUUCGUAGAUAUUAGAAAGAAUACCAAUUGCGAAGGCAGCUUUCUGGAUCAUUACUGACACUGAGGAACGAAAGCAUGGGUAGCGAAGAGGAUUAGAUACCCUCGUAGUCCAUGCCGUAAACGAUGUGUGUUAGACGUUGGAAAUUUAUUUUCAGUGUCGCAGCGAAAGCGAUAAACACACCGCCUGGGGAGUACGACCGCAAGGUUAAAACUCAAAUGAAUUGACGGGGACCCGCACAAGUAGUGGAGCAUGUGGUUUAAUUCGAAGAUACGCGCAGAACCUUACCAACACUUGACAUGUUCGUCGCGACUCUAAGAGAUUAGAGUUUUCAGUUCGGCCGGACGAAACACAGGUGCUGCAUGGCUGUCGUCAGCUCGUGUCGUGAGAUGUUGGGUUAAGUCCCGCAACGAGCGCAACCCUCACUUUUAGUUGCCAUCAUUAAGUUGGGCACUCUGAAAGAACUGCCAGUGAUAAGCUGGAGGAAGGUGGGGAUGACGUCAAGUCCUCAUGGCCCUUACGUGUCGGGCUACACACGUGCUACAAUGGUAUCUACAACAGGAAGCAAGACUGCGAGGUCAAGCAAAUCCUUAAAAGAUACCUCAGUUCGGAUUGCACUCUGCAACUCGAGUGCAUGAAGCUGGAAUUACUAGUAAUCGUGGAUCAGCGUGCCACGGUGAAUGCGUUCCCGGGUCU
RNAcentral lists this ribosomal RNA (1306 nucleotides) under uncultured bacterium. Its description in RNAcentral is "bacterial SSU rRNA". It matches the Rfam family "Bacterial small subunit ribosomal RNA", at positions 28 to 1381 of the family's 1533-position model. The record is from RNAcentral.